This is a non-coding RNA of Ataeniobius toweri, 98 nucleotides long. The record is from the annotation of a GenBank genome assembly. NCBI's taxonomy places the organism in Eukaryota, Metazoa, Chordata, Actinopteri, Cyprinodontiformes, Goodeidae.
CACCAGGUGGCUCAGUGGUAGAGCGAGGUCACCAUAUGCAGAGGCUACAGUCCUCCAUGCAGCGGUCCCAGGUUCAAUUCCCUGCCCCGGGCCAUUUA